RNAcentral lists this ribosomal RNA (465 nucleotides) under uncultured bacterium. RNAcentral's name for it is "partial 16S ribosomal RNA". It matches the Rfam family "Bacterial small subunit ribosomal RNA", at positions 28 to 507 of the family's 1533-position model. The record is from RNAcentral.
GACGAACACUGGCGGCGUGCUUAACACAUGCAAGUCGUACGGUAAGGCCCUUUCGGGGGUACACGAGUGGCGAACGGGUGAGUAACACGUGAGUAACCUGCCCACAACUUUGGGAUAACGCUAGGAAACUGGUGCUAAUACUGGAUAUGUGCUCCUGCUGCAUGGUGGGGGUUGGAAAGCUCCGGCGGUUGUGGAUGGACUCGCGGCCUAUCAGCUUGUUGGUGGGGUAGUGGCCUACCAAGGCGGCGACGGGUAGCCGGCCUGAGAGGGUGACCGGCCACAUUGGGACUGAGAUACGGCCCAGACUCCUACGGGAGGCAGCAGUGGGGAAUAUUGCACAAUGGGCGCAAGCCUGAUGCAGCAACGCCGCGUGCGGGAUGACGGCCUUCGGGUUGUAAACCGCUUUCAGCAGGGACGAAGCUUUUUGUGACGGUACCUGCAGAAGAAGCACCGGCUAACUACGUG